UUUUUUUUGCAACAUUUCUACUUUAAAUCAAAUGUAUUUAUGUGCAAUAUUUAUUCCUGAUAUUUAAUACAUGUAUGUUUACAUAGUUGCAGAGUAAUUGCAUGAGGUAUGUUAUUAGAUGGACACUUUCUUUGUAGAAUUAAAAAAAACUAUUAUUUACUAACCAUAGCUUCAAAGAUACUUUGACAGGAAAAUUAAAAAAAAAAUCUCAACUUUUUAAUAAUAGUUAUGUUAUAUUUAUCAAAUGAAUGACUUUAAUCAUAUGUUAUCAAGAGAAAUUCUAUCGAUCAAUGUACCUCCAAUGAUUUGCAAAAAUAUCAGACAAUCCAAAUAGUAAUAUGAUGUAUUUAUAUAUAGAUUGCUAACAACUCUACCUAUGGAACUAAAGAUCUUUACAGAAACUAUCUCAAGUUUUCAAGCUUGACUUGUCGACUAACUGUAAUAUUUCUGAUGCUUUCCAUCCAGACUUUCAUAAUAUAGCAAAUCUUUGACAUGAAGAGGCUACUUAUGAUUUAAUUCUUAAAGUCCAUAAAAUGUUUUAAUGUCUAUUGAAUUUAAGGCAUCUAUUUACUUGCAUUUUUUCUUUGAUAUUAAUACUUCUUAUGAACCAUAUUCUCUAAAUAUGUAAGAAUGUUUUAUGUACACCAAACGCUGAUCUGUAAAUUAUCUACAAUUAUCUUGUGUAGUUUUACACUUAUUAUUUAGAUCUGUCUCUAAGUAUAUUAAACGAUCUGUAAUUGAAUAUCGAGUGUCUGUUUCUGAAAGUGUCCGUCCUCAUUCAGUGUUUCUAACAUAUUAAUAAAAUGUAUCAUUAUU
Molecule: long non-coding RNA, 816 nt
Organism: Mytilus trossulus (common blue mussel)
Lineage: Eukaryota; Metazoa; Mollusca; Bivalvia; Mytilida; Mytilidae
Exons: 2
Source: RefSeq, a predicted model, not a curated record